Molecule: long non-coding RNA, 1456 nt
Filed under: Canis lupus familiaris (dog)
Lineage: Eukaryota; Metazoa; Chordata; Mammalia; Carnivora; Canidae
Description: lncRNA (ENSCAFG00845030220.1)
Source: RNAcentral
UUCUCAGCUCUAAAUUUCUCAUCUCUGGUGAUCAGGAUACUCUUUACCUCCUGGUCCAAGUCUGCCUUCCACAUGGGAGAUCCGUGUCCUGCUUUCAGGGGACAGAGGAGGGCCUGGGUGUCCUUGCACUAACUGGCUUUUAAGUAACUUAUUUAAAUAAUCAAUAUGCCCAAGUGGCCCACCUUGGGGUAGCCUGCCCUUGGCCCCAAUCACAGUUUACAAAGAACCUUUACAUAAAUUACAAAAAGAACCCUUGAUCUCCACAUCAGACUUCUGAUAUAGAGAAGGCAGACGGGAUCACACACACUUUUACAGAUGGUGAACCGAGGCUUGGGGAGAGUAGGUGACGUUUUCUGGCACAAGUCUGGUAAUCUGCAAAUGGAAGCCAGCACGGCCCAGCGGUGGGAACAUAGUAGCACCAUGGAAAUUUAGAGAACGGUGUCCUCGGCCAAGGCAGCAGAACUGGCAUGGAGAUUCCUGCACGGCCCUCCUCAAGGCUCCUCACCUCUCCUUUCCUGUCCCCGCACAGAGCAAGCUCUCUCUGUGGCAUCCAGGCCAGCCCCUUGGUGGUCCCUGCCCCUGGGAGCAUCUCCCAGGCAAAUGGCAAAAUAACGGAAACAGAAUUUGGACCCAGAAGCUCCACGCAUGUGCACUGCAAUUAACCCUGAGGCUAAACCACCAGCCUUCCUUUCUCACUCAGAUAUUAAUUUCCUUCCUUCUUCUCUCCUUGGGGAGCUUGGGAACUUGGGUGAAGACAUGCACACAGCUAUCUGUAGCAGACAGGAUGAUGUAAAUGCUUAAAAAUAGACUAAAAAUGGAUGAAAGACCUAAACAUGAGACAAGAAUCCAUCAAAAUCCUAGAGAACACAGGCAGUGUUCUCUGUGACCUCGGUCACAGCAAUUUUUUGCUAGACACAUCUCCAAAGGCAAGGGGAACUAAGGUAAAAGUGAACUUUUGGGACCUCAUCAAGAUAAAAAGCUCUUGCACAGCGCAGGAAACAGUUGACAAAACCAAAAGACAACCUAGAGAAUGAGAGAAGAUAUUUGCAAACAUCUUAUCAGAUAAAGGGCUCACUCAAGGGACGCCUGGGUGGCUCAGUGAUUGAGCGGCUGCCUUCGGCUCAGGGCGUGAUCCUGGAGUCCCGGGAUCGAGUCCCGUGUCGGGCUCCCUGCAUGGAGCCUGCUUCUCCCUCUGCCUGUGUCUCUGCCUCUGUCUCUUUGUGUCUCUUAUCAAUAAAUAAAUAAAAUCUUCCAAAAAAAAAAAAAAGGGCUCACUCAAAAAACAAAAAAUCCAAUGAAGAAAUGGGUAGAAGACAUGAACAGCCAUUUCUCAGAAGAAGACAUGCAAUUAGCCAACAAACACAUGAAAAAAUGCUCAACAUCAGUCAGCAUCAGAGAAGUAUGAAUCAAAACCACAAUAAGAUAUCAUGUCAUACCUGGCAGAGUGGCUAAAAUU